GCAGGCGCACGCCAAAAAAGAGAAUAAUAAUAACUAAAUAAACUGGCCUACUUCGGCACCUUCAUCAACGGAGAAAGCGGAUCUGCCAAGCGGGUUCCGCCUGUUUGUUCGGUGCUGUCCUUUUCUCGUCCUACAAACGGUGCUUUAAUCAUGUCGUCGGCGCCGUCCACGCUCUCGGCGGAUCAGCAGCGCCUGUUCGACCGGAUGAAUCGCGAGUACUCAAAUCGAGAGUACAGCAAGGCGCUGCGCACGUCGGAAUGCAUUCUAAGGGUCGUCCCAGAUCACGUGGACACGUUUGCCGGCCGCGGGCUUGUUCUGUACAACAUGGAGAGGCAGGAAGAGGGUUACGAAUCCAUUAAGCAGGCUAUCCUCCUCAACCCCAAGUCGAUGGUGGCCUGGCACGCGUUAGGCAUGUGCCAGCGGCUUGACAAGAAGUUUGGCGAGGCAGUGAAGGCAUUCAAGCGUGCGCUGACAUUUGAUCCGGCGAACACGGAGGUGCUGCGCGAUUUGGCGUCAGCGUGCAUUCAAGUGCGUGACUGGCCUCUGUUCCUGGAGGCGCGUGAGAAGAUGGUCACGGCAAAGGCGAGUGUGCGCGCAAACUGGGUGGCGCUCUCGUGCGGUCACCGCAUACUAGGCCACAGCAGGAUUGCCGCAGCUGUCAUGGAUACCAUGACUUCCAUCAUGGACGCUGGCGACAAUCCCGUCGAAGUGAGCGAGGCACAAUUGUAUCGCGUCGAGCUGGAGCUGGAGAGCGGGGCACCGCAGCGUGCGUUGGAGCUGCUCAAGAAGCACGACAGCGAGAUCAUCGACGUGGAGACGAAGCUGCUGCUGCGUGCCAAGGCGCACGCGCAGCUCGGUCAACGCAUGGAAGCGGAGAAACGCUACAUAGAGGUGAUCUCGAUGGGUGUGUCGGAGGCGGACAGCAUCGCAGCCCUGGCUCACCUGCGGAAGAUCCCGCUUGACCGCUACCUUCGCCCGGCAGCGGGGUACACGGAGAAGUACAUGGAGAUCAUCGACCGUGUCCUGAAGGCAUGCCCAAAGUGCGACUACGCAAAACGCCACGCGCUGGACUGCGUGCCAAUCGCGGAGUUCAGUGAGCGUCUCGCCGCCUUCGCCACACCCUACAUCCAGCGCAUGAUUCCGUCCUUGUUCAGCGUGCUCAAGUCAUUGUACGUGGAUGCCGAGCGAGCGGCAAUCAUAGGUGACGUCUUCGCGAUGAUGGAGCGGGAGCUUGAGGCCAAGGACUUCUCUCGUUUUGGCGGGGAAGCGAACCCGUGCUACAUUCUUUGGGUGUGCACGUUUCUCGCGUCGCACUACCGCCGCACCGGCGAAUACGCGCUGGCGCAUGCCUACAUUGAAAAGGCCAUCAACCACACACCAACACUAGAGCUGCUUUACCUGGAAAAGGCGAAGAUAUUUGCGCGCGAGGGCAAGACGGCCGAGGCAGCCGAGCAGGCUGAUUUGGCGCGGAGGUUGGAUUUGCAGGACAAGUACCUGAAUAGCAAGGCGGCCAAAUACUACUUCCGCGACAAUCAGGUGGAGAGGGGGGAGGCGACGAUGCAGCUCUUCUACAAACCGUCGGUGGUGGCGGGUGACACCUACCUCACAGCACUCGAAUCGCAGUGCUAUUGGUAUGAGCGCGAGGUGGGAGAAGCCUUCUACCGCAGAGGCGACUACAUCUCCGCGUUGCAGAACCUUCUCAUGUUCGAGCGCCACCAUGAGCAGAACCACUGCGAGCUCAGCGACUUUCACAACUACGUAUUUCGGCGCAAUACCAUGCGCCCGUGGUUCGACGUGUUGGACUGCGACGACAACAUGGGUCGGAACAAAUUCUUCUUGAAGUUUUGCCCUGCCAUUGUGCGCACUUACAUGCGCAUUCAUGAAAAAGGCGAGGAAGCUGUGCGGGCUGCGCACGUGCCGAGGCCAGAACUGAAAUUUGACGCGAUCGCCGCAGACGAAGUGAAGCGGAUGAAGCAGCAGCAGAAGGACUACUACAUCAGCGACGUGGACCUGUCAGAGCCUCUGGUCAAGGCGAGCCGCUACAUGGGAUACCUCUUGGCCCACCGGAACAACCAAGCCAGUACGCAUACGCUCGCUAUCGAGCUGUACACGGCGGCUGCCAAGCCUCUCCUUGUCGCUCGUUCGCUUCUCUCUCUUCACCGACAGCGGUACAACAAGACUAAGGAACUUGCUGUGGCCUUCAAGACUGGGCUGUACACCACGACAACCAUGGACUCUCGCGUGCAGGCUGUUGUUGAUGAGAUCCUUGCCACCUUGCUGGAGUAGUGGAUAACGGAAGACUCCCACCCCCCCCUCGAACCAAAAAAUAAUGGGAGGCACGCCUUCAUGCAUGGCGGUGCGGGUGGUUUCCUUUUCCGUUGUGAUUCAUGGCGUGCGGGUGUGCUGCUGUGGAGAGAAGUGGGGCCAUGAGGUGAAUGCAGGAAGGCAGAUUUCGUCAGGCGAAUGCCCUUGUCUUUGUCCGCACGGGCGCGCAUGCGUACACAGGCUUGUGUGUGCGCGCGUGCGCGUGCGCGUGUGCGUGCGUCUUUUGGGUACACCGUCAGUUCUGUUAACCUUGUAAUGCGGCGAAGCCUCCGUUGUCUUUACAGUGCGGUGUGUUUCUUAUCGCUCUAGUUCUUUUAAGGAGCCUCCCCGUCCACCUCCUCCUCCUCCACAGCCUCCUUUCAAUACACAUCCAUGCACCCCCGUGUACUCGAUCACACUGUCUGGGGAAAAAGAAAACAGAAGUUCUCUCCGUCCCUUGGACGUAGUGCAGAGAUUAUCACGAGCAUAGU
This 2795-nucleotide unclassified non-coding RNA is filed under the name Leishmania donovani. Its description in RNAcentral is "gene:LdHU3.36.1740(CDS-product:N-acetyltransferas e_subunit_Nat1_putative)". The record is from RNAcentral. Lineage: Eukaryota; Euglenozoa; Kinetoplastea; Trypanosomatida; Trypanosomatidae.